CAAAGAGCUUCCCAGAGGAGGUGAUAAAAUCAAGAAAGUAUGGUUAUGUACCUGAUGAAGCUUCAUUAGUUUGGAUGGGACAAGUGUGUUGAGUCAGGAGUGAUGGGACAUAAGACAAAAGGCGGAAAGAAGCCAGAAAAUGAAAGACUUGGUGGGAUUUUCCUGUCUCUUUCCUCUGGUUUUUCUCUUUUUCCUGUUUCAGUUUUCUGGAAAACAGAGAGCUGCCAAGUGGGCUAUUCUUAGCACAGCUGUGCCCAUGUUUAGAAACAGUCACUAUUGUUUCCCUUGUUCUGCACUGAACCCACAACAAAUUAAUCCUCCUAAGAAAAACUUCUGGCAUGAUAAGGGGAAGAAUCUGUGUACUGGGGGUUUGGGUAUGCUCCAAAUAGCUGAGAGUGAGCCUUUACAACUGAGGAAAGGGAGCAAUGCCUGGGUUGCUCAGUGGUUGAGCAGCUGCCUUCGGCUCAGGGUGUGAUCCUGGGAUCCAGUCCCUCAUCGGGCUCCCCACAGGGAGCCUGCUUCUCCUUCUGCCUAUGUCUCUGCCUCUCUCAGUGUGUCUCUCAUGAAUAAAUAAAUAAAAUCUUAAAAAAAACA
This 594-nucleotide long non-coding RNA is filed under the name Vulpes vulpes (red fox). RNAcentral describes it as "lncRNA (ENSVVUG00000021933.1)". Lineage: Eukaryota; Metazoa; Chordata; Mammalia; Carnivora; Canidae. The record is from RNAcentral.